Molecule: transfer RNA, 72 nt
Filed under: Pseudomonadota bacterium
Lineage: Bacteria; Pseudomonadati; Pseudomonadota
Also listed under: 1 other name
Description: tRNA-Ile
Rfam family: tRNA
About the family: Transfer RNA (tRNA) molecules are approximately 80 nucleotides in length.
Source: RNAcentral
GGGCCCAUAGCUCAGCGGUAGAGCGGACGGCUCAUAACCGUUUGGUCCCUGGUUCGAAUCCGGGUGGGCCCA